AUGAUACUCCCUCCGGCCGGAAAUACUUGUCAUCAAAAUGGAUGAAAAUGGAUGUAUCUAGAACUAAAAUACAUCUAGAUACACCCAUUUCAAUGACAAGUAUUUCCGGACGGAGGGAGUACUAC
Non-coding RNA from Triticum urartu, 125 nucleotides. NCBI's taxonomy places the organism in Eukaryota, Viridiplantae, Streptophyta, Magnoliopsida, Poales, Poaceae. The record is from Rfam.